RNAcentral lists this ribosomal RNA (462 nucleotides) under uncultured bacterium. RNAcentral's name for it is "partial 16S ribosomal RNA". It matches the Rfam family "Bacterial small subunit ribosomal RNA", at positions 28 to 507 of the family's 1533-position model. The record is from RNAcentral.
GAUAAACGCUGGCGGCGUGCUUAACACAUGCAAGUCGAACGAGGUUUUUCUUUCGGGAGGAACUUAGUGGCGGACGGGUGAGUAACGCGUGGGUAACCUGCCCUGUACAGGGGGACAACAGCUGGAAACGGCUGCUAAUACCGCAUAAGCCCUUAGCACUGCAUGGUGCACAGGGAAAAGGAGCAAUCCGGUACAGGAUGGACCCGCGUCUGAUUAGCCAGUUGGCAGGGUAACGGCCUACCAAAGCGACGAUCAGUAGCCGAUCUGAGAGGAUGUACGGCCACAUUGGGACUGAGACACGGCCCAGACUCCUACGGGAGGCAGCAGUGGGGAAUAUUGCACAAUGGAGGAAACUCUGAUGCAGCGACGCCGCGUGAGUGAAGAAGUAUUUCGGUAUGUAAAGCUCUAUCAGCAGGAAAGAAAAUGACGGUACCUGACUAAGAAGCACCGGCUAAAUACGUG